This 482-nucleotide ribosomal RNA is filed under the name uncultured bacterium. RNAcentral describes it as "bacterial SSU rRNA". It matches the Rfam family "Bacterial small subunit ribosomal RNA", at positions 29 to 506 of the family's 1533-position model. The record is from RNAcentral.
UUGAACGCUGGCGGAAUGCUUUACACAUGCAAGUCGAGCGGCAGCGCGGGGGCAACCCUGGCGGCGAGCGGUGAACGGGUGAGUAACACAUCGGAACGUACCCAGUUGUGGGGGAUAGCCCGGCGAAAGCCGGAUUAAUACCGCAUACGACCUGAGGGUGAAAGCGGGGGAUCGCAAGACCUCGCGUGAUUGGAGCGGCCGAUGUCGGAUUAGCUAGUUGGUGGGGUAAAGGCCUACCAAGGCGACGAUCCGUAGCGGGUCUGAGAGGAUGAUCCGCCACACUGGGACUGAGACACGGCCCAGACUCCUACGGGAGGCAGCAGUGGGGAAUUUUGGACAAUGGGGGCAACCCUGAUCCAGCCAUGCCGCGUGAGUGAAGAAGGCCUUCGGGUUGUAAAGCUCUUUCAGACGGAAAGAAAUCGGGCGCGUGAAUAGCGUGCCUGGAUGACGGUACUGUCAGAAGAAGCACCGGCUAACUACGU